AAUUCUCAAACCUUCAUUGGUUUUUUCCUUUGUAAGGCUUUGGAUGUGGGGGUUGCUGGAAUCUAACGAAUUCGGCUCUCCUUAAAUGCAUUAGUGGUUACUGUUCUCCACUUCGAUGUGAUAAUUAUCUACAUCUUAUGAGUGGAGAUGUUAAGUGUAGCUGCUUUCUAACCGUCUGAGUUAAUCGGACAAUUUGAACCAU
This 202-nucleotide unclassified non-coding RNA is filed under the name uncultured Mycena. Its description in RNAcentral is "sequence contains ITS2". The record is from RNAcentral. Lineage: Eukaryota; Fungi; Basidiomycota; Agaricomycetes; Agaricales; Tricholomataceae.